UGUGACUCUGAAUCCUAUAUAAAGGUUGAAACUCAAAUGCUAACAGUCAUAAUGAAAUAAUUUUUGUUUUGUUUAAGAAAGCCGCGAUUACAAUUAACCACUGUAAUAUAAAUUUGGAGACAGCAAUAAUUUAAGAAAUAAGAUAAUGCCUUAGAAUGACUAAACUUGUAAAUAUGUUGGUAUAGUAUAAUAAACCGCUAACAUAUAGUUGUGUUAUGUUGUUUUAACGAUGUCUUGAUUUAAUAUAUUACUAAAUAUAUAUCUGCGUGCCGAAAACCGUAUUUAGCUACACCACAUUGUAAUGUAUAUGUCAAAUGAAGAACAUGUCAUAGAACUU
This 337-nucleotide long non-coding RNA is filed under the name Mytilus galloprovincialis (Mediterranean mussel). Lineage: Eukaryota; Metazoa; Mollusca; Bivalvia; Mytilida; Mytilidae. The record is from RNAcentral.